UCAGAUUGUGGGCAAAGUUAAAAACUUAAAUACAAAAAGGGUGUAGAGUAUUGUAACCUUGUACAUGUUGAUCACACCACAUGUUUCAGCUACAGCUAUAAGUGCCUUGUCUCAUCAAGCAAGCUACAGUUCUUGCAAUGUUACACUUUGUGAUACUCAGUAUGAAUUGAUAAGACUAGCUGCUAUUCUAGUGGUUGUGCAGGCCACAAGGGAACAGUGCCUGGCCUUUGUGCUUGUAUGUGUCAAUUUCUCUCUUUCAGUCUCGCCCAAGCCACACCAAAAUGUUAUCCACAAGUGUCGUGCCAAAAUGGCCUGGCGACAUUUCGUAUUAAGCCGUUUGACCCAUUUAUUGCACUGAUGCACACAGUGCAACCAAAUGAAGGAAAUGACAUCGCCUAGAUGCAAAGCUGCAAUACAGCACCACGGCGUCAAAAGGACAGUAUGCAAGUGGUGGUCCAGCAUCAAAACUUCAAUGUCCCUACACUACAACACUGGGAGGCCAUGCUGCAUGACAGAAGCCUGUGUGGCCAGCAGGCGCUGCUCUGUCGGGCACAGGACGUGGCAGCAACUAUUUCUCCUAAGGAUUCAAUAAACGGAUUUCUCUACCUCA
This is a long non-coding RNA of Dermacentor andersoni, 610 nucleotides long. RefSeq lists it as uncharacterized. NCBI's taxonomy places the organism in Eukaryota, Metazoa, Arthropoda, Arachnida, Ixodida, Ixodidae. The record is from RefSeq and is a predicted model, not a curated record.